AUUGAACGCUGGCGGCAGGCCUAACACAUGCAAGUCGAGCGGCAGCGGGAAGUAGUUUACUACUUUGCCGGCGAGCGGCGGACGGGUGAGUAAUGUCUGGGAAACUGCCUGAUGGAGGGGGAUAACUACUGGAAACGGUAGCUAAUACCGCAUAACGUCUUCGGACCAAAGUGGGGGACCUUCGGGCCUCACGCCAUCGGAUGUGCCCAGAUGGGAUUAGCUAGUAGGUGGGGUAAUGGCUCACCUAGGCGACGAUCCCUAGCUGGUCUGAGAGGAUGACCAGCCACACUGGAACUGAGACACGGUCCAGACUCCUACGGGAGGCAGCAGUGGGGAAUAUUGCACAAUGGGCGCAAGCCUGAUGCAGCCAUGCCGCGUGUGUGAAGAAGGCCUUCGGGUUGUAAAGCACUUUCAGCGAGGAGGAAGGCCAAUAACUUAAUACGUUGUUGGAUUGACGUUACUCGCAGAAGAAGCACCGGCUAACUCCGUGCCAGCCGCCGCCGUAACAC
This 509-nucleotide ribosomal RNA is filed under the name uncultured bacterium. Its description in RNAcentral is "bacterial SSU rRNA". It matches the Rfam family "Bacterial small subunit ribosomal RNA", at positions 30 to 526 of the family's 1533-position model. The record is from RNAcentral.